AAUAUUGGACAAUGGGCGAAAGCCUGAUCCAGCCAUGCCGCGUGUGUGAAGAAGGUCUUCGGAUUGUAAAGCACUUUAAGUUGGGAGGAAGGGGUUGAAGCUAAUACCUUCAAUCUUUGACGUUACCAACAGAAUAAGCACCGGCUAACUCUGUGCCAGCAGCCGCGGUAAUACAGAGGGUGCAAGCGUUAAUCGGAAUUACUGGGCGUAAAACGCGGGUAGGUGGUUCCAUAAGAUUGAAGUUAAAUCCCCGGGCUUAACCUGGGAACUUCUUUCAUAACUGCUGAGCUUGAGUAAGGUAGAGGGUAGUUGAAUUUCCUGUGUAGCGGUGAAAUGCGUAGAUAUAGGAAGGAACACCAGUGGCGAAGGCGACUACCUGGACUGAUACUGACACUGAGGUGCGAAAGCGUGGGGAGCAAACAGG
RNAcentral lists this ribosomal RNA (424 nucleotides) under uncultured bacterium. RNAcentral's name for it is "partial 16S ribosomal RNA". It matches the Rfam family "Bacterial small subunit ribosomal RNA", at positions 360 to 776 of the family's 1533-position model. The record is from RNAcentral.